Molecule: long non-coding RNA, 1389 nt
Filed under: Olea europaea (common olive)
Lineage: Eukaryota; Viridiplantae; Streptophyta; Magnoliopsida; Lamiales; Oleaceae
Description: long non-coding RNA (OEUR_LNC001644)
Source: RNAcentral
UCCCACACUCACAUGCGGGUCUCACCAUCGGUGAGUAUAUGAAUAUCUUAAUGUACAAAAAGUUAUGUAAAACUAGUGUUAUUCAAUAGUAAAAAGUUGGAUGAAAAAGAACUUAUUUUCAUAAAAAAAUAAAUUCAAUCAAAUGUGCUUUAGGGUAUUACCCACUUGGAAUUUCAAAGUUAUCCAGAGAGAAUUCUCUCUCAAUCGAAGCCGCCACUUUUUUGACUAAUUUUGUUCAAUCAGGUUAUGUGGAGGAAAUCUACCUACCUCACGACGUCAGAUGCAUGGAAAUCUAUCAAUUCAGCCGCCAAAAAUCAUCCAUCUUCACAUAUUUUGUUUCAGAUACUUUCAUAUCAGCAUAUCUAAAAGUAUUAUAGAAUAAUAAACAUAGUGCAAGUGUCAUCUUAGUUUUGAAUUGAACUUGACGAGGAAUGUUAUCCGAUAAAACUUAUCUUAUUUACCAUACUUGAAUAUGAGAUUAUUGGUCAAGAAAGCACGAUUCUAUCCUCAGAAAACGUGUAUGUAAUAAAGGGGUUUCAAAUAUAUCAAUUUUUUAAACUUGAAAUCAUAAAAUAAUAUAUAUUCAAGAUAAUCAAGAAGUCCACUACAUUACAAUCUCAUUGGUUCCAAUCAUAAAAAAACGCCAAAUAUUAAUUGGAGGGAAAAUUGCAACAGCGAUCCUUAACCUUUUCUUUUUUUUGCAAAUUUUAUCCUAAUUUUUAUUUUAUGCCUGCGAAGGUCCCUAACCUUUCAUAAAUAUAUACCUGAGGUCCAUCUGGACGGAAAUCAUUCAAAAUGCCGUCAGUUGACACGAAAAAUUCCUUGAAUUAUCUGCUAUCGCGACGAUUUAUUGGAUGUUGAUAUCUUUUAGAACGAUUUUAUUGGAUGUUAAUUCCUUAAUUUUUCCGAUCAACUGACGUGUCUUGGACGAUUUCUAUCCAAAUAGAUCUCGGGUGCAUAUUUAUGAAAGGUAAGAAACCUAUGCUAGCACAAAAUGAAGGUUAUGAUAAAGUCUGCAAAAAAAUAAAAAGGUUAAGGACCGCUAAUGCAAUUUUUCCUUAACCCGAAUGUUUUAUGAGGAAAUUACAAAAACCCAGGCAUUUCAAGAUGACAAUGCAAAAAUUAGGUGGAAUGUUUUUUUAAUCAUAAAUAAGAUACUCACCCAACCUACACAAACCCUAAAUCAUUUCGUCUCUCUCUCUCUCUCUGUCUGCCCUCUCUCUCUACCCAUUUCUUUUCUCUCCAGCCUCUAACCAUUUUGCUUCAUCUUCAUCAUCGUAGCUCGUCGAGUUUCAUUCUUCAUCGGUGUCGGCACUCUAAACUGGUGAUGAUCAAUCGUUGGUUUAUCUAUUCUAUUUGCUUCGACGAUACUCUGAAACGCAGGCUGUG